This 253-nucleotide ribosomal RNA is filed under the name uncultured bacterium. RNAcentral's name for it is "partial 16S ribosomal RNA". It matches the Rfam family "Bacterial small subunit ribosomal RNA", at positions 524 to 776 of the family's 1533-position model. The record is from RNAcentral.
UACGGAGGGUGCGAGCGUUAUCCGGAAUUACUGGGUUUAAAGGGUGCGUAGGCGGCUAUGUAAGUCUGGAGUGAAAGUUUGCGGCUCAACCGUAAAAUUGCUUUUGAUACUGCAUGGCUAGAAUCAGGAUGAGGUUAGCGGAAUGUGGCAUGUAGCGGUGAAAUGCAUAGAUAUGCCAUAGAACACCAAUUGCGAAGGCAGCUGGCUAGACCUGCAUUGACGCUGAGGCACGAAAGCGUGGGGAGCGAACAGG